RNAcentral lists this ribosomal RNA (253 nucleotides) under uncultured bacterium. RNAcentral's name for it is "partial 16S ribosomal RNA". It matches the Rfam family "Bacterial small subunit ribosomal RNA", at positions 524 to 776 of the family's 1533-position model. The record is from RNAcentral.
UACGUAGGGGGCAAGCGUUGUCCGGAAUCAUUGGGCGUAAAGCGCGCGUAGGCGGCUUUUUAAGUCAGGGGUGAAAUCCUGGAGCUCAACUCCAGAACUGCCUUUGAUACUGAGGAGCUUGAGUUCGGGAGAGGUGAGUGGAACUGCGAGUGUAGAGGUGAAAUGCGCAGAUAUCGGGAGGAACACCAGUGGCGAAGGCGGCGAUCUGGGUAGAUACUGACGCUGAGGUGCGAAAGCGUGGGGAGCAAACAGG